GGUUCCAUCGUGUAGUGGCGAGCGCUCUGGACUCUAAAUCCAGCGAUCCAGGUUCAGAUCUCGGUGGAACAU
Molecule: transfer RNA, 72 nt
Filed under: Ovis aries (sheep)
Lineage: Eukaryota; Metazoa; Chordata; Mammalia; Artiodactyla; Bovidae
Rfam family: tRNA
About the family: Transfer RNA (tRNA) molecules are approximately 80 nucleotides in length. Their secondary structure includes four short double-helical elements and three loops (D, anti-codon, and T loops).
Source: Rfam by way of RNAcentral